GAUGAACGCUGGCGGCGUGCCUAAUACAUGCAAGUCGAGCGAACAGACGAGGAGCUUGCUCCUCUGACGUUAGCGGCGGACGGGUGAGUAACACGUGGAUAACCUACCUAUAAGACUGGGAUAACUUCGGGAAACCGGAGCUAAUACCGGAUAACAUGUUGAACCGCAUGGUUCAACAGUGAAAGACGGUCUUGCUGUCACUUAUAGAUGGAUCCGCGCCGCAUUAGCUAGUUGGUAAGGUAACGGCUUACCAAGGCAACGAUGCGUAGCCGACCUGAGAGGGUGAUCGGCCACACUGGAACUGAGACACGGUCCAGACUCCUACGGGAGGCAGCAGUAGGGAAUCUUCCGCAAUGGGCGAAAGCCUGACGGAGCGACGCCGCGUGAGUGAAGAAGGUCUUCGGAUCGUAAAACUCUGUUAUUAGGGAAGAACAAAUGUGUAAGUAACUAUGCACGUCUUGACGGUACCUAAUCAGAAAGCCACGGCUAACUACGUG
Molecule: ribosomal RNA, 497 nt
Filed under: uncultured bacterium
Lineage: Bacteria
Description: partial 16S ribosomal RNA
Rfam family: Bacterial small subunit ribosomal RNA
Source: RNAcentral